This 83-nucleotide ribozyme is filed under the name unclassified sequences. RNAcentral describes it as "Twister_sister_ribozyme". It matches the Rfam family "Twister_sister_ribozyme". The record is from Rfam by way of RNAcentral.
AGUAGAAGCCAGGUCCAGUCCCGAGCAUGCCGGGACCAGUACACUCUCACAAGGAGUGUACUGCGACGCUUAUAAUCUACUCU